AAUUGAAAUCAUUCUCCACUCAAACCCUAAAUCAUUCUUUCAGCCGUUUCUCUCUGGCUUCACUCUACAUCCUCUUCAAAUCAAACUUGGAUCCAUGGAUUAUUUUCAAUGAAGAAUCUAACUGAUGUUGGUAAUACUGAUUCGUUUUAUAGUGAAUCGGGGAUUCUUCCAUCAUUUUCUUGAUUUGAUUAUCCUUAACUUGAUAUGCUUUAGCUGAAUGUUUGAUAUCCCUCUCUAAUUGCGAAGCAUUGAUACGACUCCAUCAUACAUCGAUUUUGUCUUCAUCAUCCUUCGAAACUGAAGCAUCACAUCAGUGGUCGUAUUCUGACAAAAGGCUUCCGGCUACAAGUGGCAGCUCCCGGUGCAUAAAGGCAGCAUUGAGUGUUUGUUUAAUGGUGGAAAUGGAGAAUCUGGCAACCCAGACAGCAGAGCCGACUGAUUUAGGGACCAGCUAUGUUAAUCCAGCAAGCACGGUUAUCAUGUUCUUUGUUCCAAUUUGCUAGAUCCAGAGUUUAAACAUUGGCUGAUAUUUAUUAUUCUUGUGUUUAGAGGCGUUGGUGUUGAUUAAGAUAAGAUAAUUUUUAUUGUGUCUAACUGUAUUAACCAUAUAAAAACUUUAUAUAUAUACAGUAAGUUACUACUUGUUUGAUUCCGCUUGAUGAAUAAUGUUGUAUGUUGCUUGACUAGGUUGCUGGACACUUCACGUAUGGUGUAAUGGCAAUUUCGGCUACCACAUUUGUGUUUUGGAGUACUGUUGGUACACGUAUAUUACCGGUCGCUUUUCAGCAAGGAAGUGCCAUGUCAUUAGCAUUGCAGCUCUCAUGCAUCUGAUGAGCAUUUCGAGCUAAAUUCAAAUGAGAAAUGGUCUGAAACCGAUGUACUGAAGCUAGCUGCUGCAGUAGAAUCCAACACACUUCAUCCAAUUGGGAAAGCUAUUCUGGAAGCUGCCCGGGCUGCUAAAUGUUCUAACGUAAAGGCUGAUGAUGGAACAUUUAUGGAAGAACCUGGAUCUGGUGCCGUAGCCUCUUGUGGGAAGAAGAUGGUUUCUGUCGGUACAUUGGAAUGGGUUAGAAGGCAUGGAGUUGCUGAGAAUCCGUUUAUAGAAACUGAAGAAUUUAAAAAUCAAUCAGUUGUGUAUGUCGGGAUAGAUGGUGUGCUUGCAGGUCUUAUUUAUGUUGAGGAUCAGAUAAGAGAAGAUGCUGCAAAAUCAUUCUUGC
Helianthus annuus (common sunflower) is the source of this 1217-nucleotide long non-coding RNA. RefSeq lists it as uncharacterized. The record is from RefSeq and is a predicted model, not a curated record. The transcript has 6 exons. Lineage: Eukaryota; Viridiplantae; Streptophyta; Magnoliopsida; Asterales; Asteraceae.